Molecule: ribosomal RNA, 515 nt
Filed under: uncultured Clostridium sp.
Lineage: Bacteria; Bacillati; Bacillota; Clostridia; Eubacteriales; Clostridiaceae
Description: bacterial SSU rRNA
Rfam family: Bacterial small subunit ribosomal RNA
Source: RNAcentral
AGAGUUUGAUCCUGGCUCAGGAUGAACGCUGGCGGCGUGCCUAACACAUGCAAGUCGAACGGAAACAUAACGCUACUGAGAUUUCGGUCAAAGUUUGUUGUGUUUUAGUGGCGGACGGGUGAGUAACGCGUGGAUAACCUGCCAUAUACAGGGGGAUAACAGUUAGAAAUGACUGCUAAUACCGCAUAAGCGCACAGUCUCGCAUGGGACAGUGUGAAAAGCCGAGACGGUAUAUGAUGGAUCCGCGUCUGAUUAGCCAGUUGGCGGGGUAACGGCCCACCAAAGCGACGAUCAGUAGCCGGCCUGAGAGGGUGAACGGCCACAUUGGGACUGAGACACGGCCCAAACUCCUACGGGAGGCAGCAGUGGGGGAUAUUGCACAAUGGGGGAAACCCUGAUGCAGCGACGCCGCGUGAGUGAAGAAGUAUUUCGGUAUGUAAAGCUCUAUCAGCAGGGAAGAUAAUGACGGUACCUGACUAAGAAGCACCGGCUAAAUACGUGCCAGCAGCCGCGGU